AGAGCGAACGCUGGCGGCAGGCCUAACACAUGCAAGUCGAACGGACCCUUCGGGGUUAGUGGCGGACGGGUGAGUAACACGUGGGAACGUGCCUUUUGGUUCGGAAUAGCUCCUGGAAACGGGUGGUAAUGCCGAAUGUGCCCUUCGGGGGAAAGAUUUAUCGCCAUUAGAGCGGCCCGCGUCUGAUUAGCUAGUUGGUGAGGUAAAGGCUCACCAAGGCUACGAUCAGUAGCUGGUCUGAGAGGAUGACCAGCCCACAUUGGGACUGAGACACGGCCCAAACUCCUACGGGAGGCAGCAGUAGGGAAUAUUGGACAAUGGGCGCAAGCUGAUCCAGCAAUCGCGCGUUGAGUGAAUGAAGGUCCUUAGGGUUGUAAAGCUCUUUACCCGAGAUAGGAUAAGUGACAGUUAGUCGGGAAG
RNAcentral lists this ribosomal RNA (420 nucleotides) under uncultured soil bacterium. RNAcentral's name for it is "bacterial SSU rRNA". It matches the Rfam family "Bacterial small subunit ribosomal RNA", at positions 26 to 486 of the family's 1533-position model. The record is from RNAcentral.